UCUCUAAUUUUUUUUUCUUUGCUCUUCCAUGGAUUUUCUCUCAGUUGUCAAUGCAGCUUUUGAAAAGUGAUGCUAAAAACCAGCCAUCAGUUCUCUUGCUGAGACCUUGCACGUCCUGCAUAGAUGACCUCUGUUACCCUACUCAGAUCCUGCUGCUAAGACAUCCCAGAGUGGUGCUUUAUGUUUUUCCCAGUUACAUCUCACUGAUGACCCACACUCUUCCUUUGGCCUUCUCCACCCUGUGGUACCAGGCUGCAGUGCUGCUGUCUGCCAGAAUUUGUAGGGUGAAGCAAAAGGACUGGGUGAACAUUGGUGACCACAAGCUGGCUACAUCCAGCUUUGCUCUGUAGCUCUGUUGAGGUUUCCACUAGGCAAUGUGUAGCCUGAUAUCAGUGGGCCCGAGUCAUAGCAUUGAAGAAUUGUUUGUGUUGGAAGAACAUUCAAAGGUCAUCUAGUCCAACGUACUUGCAAUAAGCAGGGACAUCUUCAACUAGAUCAGGUCGUCACGGACAAAUCCGACCCUUUCAGUCAAUAAAUCACAGUUAUAUUCCCACUGAAGUAAGAUACAUACUCCAAGUGCAACCAAAUGGUGGAAGAGCUGAGGUCUAAGCUUGCUGUUUGAGAGAGAGAACUUCAUCAGAGAAACAAAGACACUAUGGCACAGACUGACAAAAUAGGACAGUUCACAGAAACACUUGGUAAAGGAAAAAUCACAGAGGACAAUGGAGAAGAGAAUAUACAUAUAUCUAUUAACAUUGUCACAAUUUAACAACUCAUGUCCACAAUUAAGUACCACACAGCUGCUCACUCAUCCACUCCCCUCCUCUCCUGCCUCCUCGUUGUGGAAUGGGGAGGAGAACCAGAGAAAAAGGUAAAACCUGUGGGUUGAGAUAAAAAUAGUCUAAUAAUGUAAAUACAGUAAAAUAUAAUAAUAAUAGGAAAAAGGGAGAGAGGUAUAAAAACCCAAGAAACACAAGUGAUGCCCUUGGAGGA
Long non-coding RNA from Myiozetetes cayanensis, 993 nucleotides. RefSeq lists it as uncharacterized. The transcript is spliced from 3 exons. NCBI's taxonomy places the organism in Eukaryota, Metazoa, Chordata, Aves, Passeriformes, Tyrannidae. The record is from RefSeq and is a predicted model, not a curated record.